This 109-nucleotide microRNA precursor is filed under the name Choloepus hoffmanni (Hoffmann's two-fingered sloth). RNAcentral describes it as "miRNA (ENSCHOG00000014120.1)". The stretch from base 17 to 97 matches the Rfam family "mir-423 microRNA precursor family". Lineage: Eukaryota; Metazoa; Chordata; Mammalia; Pilosa; Megalonychidae. The record is from RNAcentral.
ACUUGUGAGGAAAUAAAGGAAGUUAGGAUGAGGGGCAGAGAGCGAGACUUUUCUAUCUUCCAAAAGCUCGGUCUGAGGCCCCUCAGUCUUGCUUCCUACCCCGCGCUUG